UACGGAGGGUGCAAGCGUUAUCCGGAUUCACUGGGUUUAAAGGGUGCGUAGGUGGGUUGAUAAGUCAGUGGUGAAAUCCCCGAGCUUAACUUGGGAACUGCCAUUGAUACUAUUGAUCUUGAAUACCGUGGAGGUCAGCGGAAUAUGUCAUGUAGCGGUGAAAUGCUUAGAUAUGACAUAGAACACCAAUUGCGAAGGCAGCUGGCUACGCGAAUAUUGACACUGAUGCACGAAAGCCAGGGGAGCGAACGGG
Molecule: ribosomal RNA, 253 nt
Filed under: uncultured bacterium
Lineage: Bacteria
Description: partial 16S ribosomal RNA
Rfam family: Bacterial small subunit ribosomal RNA
Source: RNAcentral